CCUACGGGAGGCAGCAGUCGAGAAUCAUUCACAAUGGGGGAAACCCUGAUGGUGCGACGCCGCGUGGGGGAAUGAAGGUCUUCGGAUUGUAAACCCCUGUCAUGUUGGCGCAAAUUAAAAAGAUAGUACCACAAGAGGAAGAGACGUCUAACUCUGUGCCAGCAGCCGCGGUAAUACAGAGGGCGCAAGCGUUGUUCGGAAUCACUGGGCGUAAAGCGUGGGGAGGCUGUUUCGUAAGUCGUGAGUGAAAGGGGCGGGCUCAACCCGCGGACGGCAUAUGAUACUGCGAGACUAGAGUAAUGUACGGGGAACCGGAAUUCUCGGUGUAGCAGUGAAAUGCGUAGAUAUCGAGAGGAACACUCGUGGCGAAGGCGGGUUCCUGGACAUUAACUGACGCUGAGGCACGAAGGCCAGGGGAGCGAAAGGGAUUAGAUACCCUAGUAGUC
RNAcentral lists this ribosomal RNA (446 nucleotides) under uncultured bacterium. RNAcentral's name for it is "partial 16S ribosomal RNA". It matches the Rfam family "Bacterial small subunit ribosomal RNA", at positions 338 to 795 of the family's 1533-position model. The record is from RNAcentral.